Molecule: long non-coding RNA, 318 nt
Organism: Magnolia sinica
Lineage: Eukaryota; Viridiplantae; Streptophyta; Magnoliopsida; Magnoliales; Magnoliaceae
Exons: 3
Source: RefSeq, a predicted model, not a curated record
UCCUUCACAAAGGGACUGACUGAACUUUCAGGAAACAUUCCUUUACAAAGGGACUUACUGAUUCUUUCUGUUUGACAAGGGGUACGAUGACAUUCCCAAAGAGAUACCCAAUGCUGAUGCCAAAAAGCCAGAAGACUGAGAUGAUGAAGAAGAUGGUGAAUGGACAGCUCCAACCAUUCCAAAUCCUGAAUACAAGGGUCCAUGGAACCCAAAGCAAAUUAAAAACCCCAACUAGUAGGGAAAAUGGAAGGCUCCGAUGAUUGACAAUCCAGGUUCAGGCAGAUUUUACAUUUUUGAUUAAAUUGUCCUAGGUUCUUA